UUGGGGUGCUCGAGUGGCGAACGGGUGAGUAACACGUGAGUAACCUGCCCUUGACUUUGGGAUAACUUCAGGAAACUGGGGCUAAUACCGGAUAGGAGCUCCUGCUGCAUGGUGGGGGUUGGAAAGUUUCGGCGGUUGGGGAUGGACUCGCGGCUUAUCAGCUUGUUGGUGGGGUAGUGGCUUACCAAGGCUUUGACGGGUAGCCGGCCUGAGAGGGUGACCGGCCACAUUGGGACUUAGAUACGGCCCAG
RNAcentral lists this ribosomal RNA (251 nucleotides) under uncultured Actinomycetales bacterium. RNAcentral describes it as "partial 16S ribosomal RNA". It matches the Rfam family "Bacterial small subunit ribosomal RNA", at positions 82 to 334 of the family's 1533-position model. The record is from RNAcentral. Lineage: Bacteria; Bacillati; Actinomycetota; Actinomycetes; Actinomycetales.